RNAcentral lists this long non-coding RNA (239 nucleotides) under Ursus maritimus (polar bear). RNAcentral's name for it is "lncRNA (ENSUMAG00000000638.1)". The record is from RNAcentral. Lineage: Eukaryota; Metazoa; Chordata; Mammalia; Carnivora; Ursidae.
AAAUUGUUUAAUCCUUGCUGUGGAGGGAACAGCCUUCAUUGGCCAGCCCAGCAUCCGGGCGCUUAACUCUACCACACAGGGUGUCCUAGGACAGCUUAUCUGAACACAGACUACCCGGGAGAACUGUGCCCCUGAGGUGCUCCCCGGAAACCCAAGGGCAUUUGCAGUGGCUGUGCCAGGAGCUUGGAAGUGUAUGAGCUGAAUUGUCCACACAGCUGCAAAUGAGGUCCAUCGAGUGA